Molecule: non-coding RNA, 512 nt
Organism: Paramuricea clavata
Lineage: Eukaryota; Metazoa; Cnidaria; Anthozoa; Malacalcyonacea; Plexauridae
Source: the annotation of a GenBank genome assembly
CUAUUCUUCGACUAUUUGCGCUACUGGAGAGAACUCGCCGACUAUUCGCCGACUAUGCCCUUGUAUCCGUCCAAGGUAUAUACUGUACUAUAGGGACUUAUCACGAAAUUCAAUAUCUCUUGAGAAUAAUGUGCCUAAUUGUUCUUUUAUCGUCCCACCGUUUAUUACGAUGCCCAACGCAAUGAACCUUGAUGUCCAACGACACUGCAUCUUUUGCCCUUUUGUCUUUCCAAAAUCCUUACACUGGAUUAUUAUACCUGAUGUCCAAUAUCCUCAGACAAGUACGUCCCAUACUACCCGUACAGCUUUCCAGCACCCCGGCCUUUACUGAUUUAUUUACGUUUUCUUAUGCAAACUAUUUUCUACUGUCCUAUAGUGAGAUGUAACUUCGAUCAAGGUGACCUGUGUUCCUUCAUAAAUGGUGCCAAUGAUAAUUUUGACUGGACGGUUCGUAGUAUAAGUACACCAAGUACUGCUACGGGACCUUCGCGAGACGUUUCAGGAAAUGGUAA